AAGACCCCAUGGAGCUUUACUGUAGCUUGACAUUGGGUCUUGGUACUACAUGUACAGGAUAGGUGGGAGGCUUUGAAACCAGGACGCCAGUUUUGGCGGAGCUAUCCUUGGGAUACCACCCUUGUAGUACUGGGACUCUAACCAUAGGCCAUGAAUCUGGUCUUGGGACACUGUCAGGUGGGCAGUUUGACUGGGGCGGUCGCCU
This 205-nucleotide ribosomal RNA is filed under the name Clostridioides difficile. RNAcentral describes it as "partial 23S ribosomal RNA". It matches the Rfam family "Bacterial large subunit ribosomal RNA", at positions 2085 to 2288 of the family's 2925-position model. The record is from RNAcentral. Lineage: Bacteria; Bacillati; Bacillota; Clostridia; Peptostreptococcales; Peptostreptococcaceae.